Molecule: ribosomal RNA, 973 nt
Filed under: Francisella endosymbiont of Hyalomma lusitanicum
Lineage: Bacteria; Pseudomonadati; Pseudomonadota; Gammaproteobacteria; Thiotrichales; Francisellaceae
Description: bacterial SSU rRNA
Rfam family: Bacterial small subunit ribosomal RNA
Source: RNAcentral
AAGGUGGCUUUUGGGCUGUCGCAGAUGGAUGAGCCUGCGUUGGAUUAGCUAGUUGGUGGGGUAAGGGCUUACCAAGGCUACGAUCCAUAGCUGAUUUGAGAGGAUGAUCAGCCACAUUGGGACUGAGACACGGCCCAAACUCCUACGGGAGGCAGCAGUGAGGAAUAUUGGACAAUGGGGGCAACCCUGAUCCAGCAAUGCCAUGUGUGUGAAGAAGGCCUUAGGGUUGUAAAGCACUUUAGUUGGGGAAAAAAGCUUUGAGGUUAAUAGCCUUGAGGAAGGACGUUACCCAAAGAAUAAGCACCGGCUAACUCCGUGCCAGCAGCCGCGGUAAUACGGGGGGUGCAAGCGUUAAUCGAAAUUACGGGGCGUAAAGGGUCUGUAGGUGGUUUGUUAAGUCAAAUGUGAAAGCCCAGGGCUCAACCUUGAAACUGCAUUUGAUACUGGCAAACUAAAGUACGGUAAAGGAAUGGGGAAUUUCUGGUGUACCGGUGAAAUGCGUAAAGAUCAAAAGGAACACCAAUGGCGAAGGCAACAUUCUGGACCGAUACUGACACUGAGGGACGAAAGCGUGGGGAUCAAACAGGAUUAAAUACCCUGGUAGUCCAUGCUGUAAACGAUGAGUACUAGCUGUUGAAGUCGGUGUAAAGGCUCUAGUGGCGCACCUAACGCGAUAAGUACUCCGCCUGGGGACUACGGCCGCAAGGCUAAAACUCAAAGGAAUUGACGGGAACCCGCACAAGCGGUGAAGCAUGUGGUUUAAUUCGAUGCAACGCGAAGAACCUUACCUGGUCUUGACAUCCUGCGAGCUUUCUAAAGAUAGAUUGGUGCCUUCGGGAACGCAUUGACAGGUGCUGCACGGCUGUGGUCAGCUCGUGUUGUGAAAUGUUUGGGUUAAGUCCCGCAACGAGCGCAACCCCUAUGGAUAGUUACCAUCAUUAAGUUGGGUACUCUAUUGAGACUGCCGCUGACA